UCCCCCAAUUAACUCACAGGUCAAGGCAGUC
RNAcentral lists this non-coding RNA (31 nucleotides) under Rattus norvegicus (Norway rat). Lineage: Eukaryota; Metazoa; Chordata; Mammalia; Rodentia; Muridae. The record is from RNAcentral.